Molecule: ribosomal RNA, 1008 nt
Filed under: human gut metagenome
Description: bacterial LSU rRNA
Rfam family: Bacterial large subunit ribosomal RNA
Source: RNAcentral
CCCAGUAAACGGCGGCCGUAACUAUAACGGUCCUAAGGUAGCGAAAUUCCUUGUCAGGUAAGUUCUGACCCGCACGAAAGGCGUAACGAUUUGGGCGCUGUCUCAGCUGUAGACUCGGUGAAGUCUUAGUACCUGUGAAGAUGCAGGUUACCCGCGACUAGACGGAAAGACCCCAUGGAGCUUCACUGCAGGUUGAUAUUGGGAUUUGAUGCAGCAUGUACAGGAUAGGUAGGAGGCAAAGAGAUGGAUACGCCAGUAUUCAAGGAGCCGCUGUUGGGAUACUACCCCUGUUGUAUUGGAUUUCUAACCGGACGACGUAAAGCCGUUGACGGGACAGUGUCAGUCGGGCAGUUUGACUGGGGCGGUCGCCUCCCAAAGAGUAACGGAGGCGCCCAAAGAUACCCUCAGCUUGGAUGGAAACCAAGCGCAGAGUGCAAAGGCAAAAGGGUGUUUGACUGCGAGACCUACAAGUCGAGCAGGGACGAAAGUCGGGCUUAGUGAUCCGGCGGUGCUGAAUGGAAAGGCCGUCGCUCAACGGAUAAAAGCUACCCUGGGGAUAACAGGCUGAUCUCCCCCAAGAGUUCACAUCGACGGGGAGGUUUGGCACCUCGAUGUCGGCUCAUCGCAUCCUGGAGCUGAAGUCGGUUCCAAGGGUUGGGCUGUUCGCCCAUUAAAGCGGUACGCGAGCUGGGUUCAGAACGUCGUGAGACAGUUCGGUCCCUAUCUGUCGUGGGCGCAGGAAAUUUGAGAAGAGCUGUCCUCAGUACGAGAGGACCGGGAUGGACGCAUCAAUGGUGGACCAGUUGUCACGCCAGUGGCAUAGCUGGGUAGCUAAAUGCGGAAGGGAUAAACGCUGAAGGCAUCUAAGUGUGAAACCCACUUCAAGAUGAGAUUUCCCAUUGCGCAAGCAAGUAAGACCCCUUAAAGACGAUAAGGUAGAUAGGUCAGGAGUGUAAGCAUGGUGACAUGUUAAGCGGACUGAUACUAAUAGGUCGAGGGCUUGACCGA